AGCAGCCGCGGUAAUUCCAGCUCCAAUAGCGUAUAUUAAAGUUGUUGCAGUUAAAAAGCUCGUAGUUGAAUUUCGGGGUUAGUAGGUUGGUCAUGCCACUGGUAUGUACUGGUCUCACUGAUUCCUCCUUCCUGAUGAACUGUAAUGCCAUUAAUUUGGUGUUGCAGGGAAUCUGGACUGUUACUUUGAAAAAUUAGAGUGUUUAAAGCAGGCUAACGCCUGAAUACAUUAGCAUGGAAUAAUGAAAUAGGACGUUCGAUCCUAUUUUGUUGGUUUCUAGGAUUGACGUAAUGAUUAAUAGGGAUAGUUGGGGGCAUUAGUAUUCAAUUGUCAGAGGUGAAAUUCUUGGAUUUAUUGAAGACUAACUACUGCGAAAGCAUUUGCCAAGGAUGUUUUCAUUAAUCAAGAACGAAAGUUAGGGGAUCGAAGACGAUCAGAUACCGUCGUAGUCUUAACCAUAAACUAUGCCGACUAGGGAUCGGAUGAUGUUAAUUUUUAAUGA
RNAcentral lists this ribosomal RNA (502 nucleotides) under uncultured Glomus. Its description in RNAcentral is "SSU rRNA". It matches the Rfam family "Eukaryotic small subunit ribosomal RNA", at positions 569 to 1074 of the family's 1831-position model. Lineage: Eukaryota; Fungi; Glomeromycota; Glomeromycetes; Glomerales; Glomeraceae. The record is from RNAcentral.